AUUGAACGCUGGCGGCAGGCCUAACACAUGCAAGUCGAGCGGAGCGGCGGACGGGUGAGUAAUGCCUAGGAAUCUGCCUGGUAGUGGGGGAUAACGUCCGGAAACGGGCGCUAAUACCGCAUACUAUCAGAUGAGCCUAGGGCGGAUUAGCUAGUUGGGUGGGUAAAGGCCGCCCAAGGCGACGAUCCGUAACUGGUCUGAGAGGAUGAUCAGUCACACUGUACCUGAGACACGGUCCAGACUCCUACGGUAGGCAGCAGUGGGGAUUAUGGGACAAUGGGCGACAGCCUGGUCCAGCCCUGCCGCGUGUGUGAAGAAGGUCUUCGGAUUGUCAAUCACUUGAAGUUGGGAGGCGUUACCAACAGUAUAAGCACCGGCUAACUUCGUUCCAGCCGCCGCGGUGAUUC
Molecule: ribosomal RNA, 407 nt
Filed under: uncultured bacterium
Lineage: Bacteria
Description: partial 16S ribosomal RNA
Rfam family: Bacterial small subunit ribosomal RNA
Source: RNAcentral